UUGGGCGAACAUACUCCAGCCAUUCCUGCUACCUUCAGUGAAGAAACUCCGGCCAUUCCUCCAACCUUCAGCAAAGAAACUCCUACCAUUCCUGCAACCUUGGGUCAUGAAACUCAGACCAUUCCUACAACCAUGGGUGAGCUAACUAAGACCAUUCCUGCAACCUUGGGUGAGGAAACUACUACUGUUCCCACAAUCUUGGGCGAGGAGGAAACUACUACUGUUCCCACAACCUUGCACAAGGAAACUUUGGCUAAGGAAACUCCAAUUAUUACCGCGACAUUGGGCGAAGAAACUAUGAAUGUUCCCACAACCUUGCAUGAGGAAAC
RNAcentral lists this long non-coding RNA (329 nucleotides) under Durio zibethinus. Its description in RNAcentral is "long non-coding RNA (DZIB_LNC000794)". Lineage: Eukaryota; Viridiplantae; Streptophyta; Magnoliopsida; Malvales; Malvaceae. The record is from RNAcentral.